GUGUAGCUCGCGUGAGGGAUUGAAGCGGUAUCCUUUUUUGAGGAACGAAAAAAAGAUUGCAACGAAAAGCCCGACCCUUU
RNAcentral lists this small RNA (80 nucleotides) under Flavobacterium swingsii. RNAcentral describes it as "Flavo-1 RNA". It matches the Rfam family "Flavo-1 RNA". The record is from RNAcentral. Lineage: Bacteria; Pseudomonadati; Bacteroidota; Flavobacteriia; Flavobacteriales; Flavobacteriaceae.